ACAACGAAGAGUUUGAUCCUGGCUCAGGAUGAACGCUAGCGACAGGCUUAACACAUGCAAGUCGAGGGGCAGCGGGGGCGCGAGCUUGCUUGCGUCCGCCGGCGACCGGCGCACGGGUGAGUAACACGUAUGCAACCUGGCCCGCGGACGGGGAU
RNAcentral lists this ribosomal RNA (155 nucleotides) under Muribaculaceae bacterium. RNAcentral's name for it is "partial 16S ribosomal RNA". It matches the Rfam family "Bacterial small subunit ribosomal RNA", at positions 1 to 144 of the family's 1533-position model. The record is from RNAcentral. Lineage: Bacteria; Pseudomonadati; Bacteroidota; Bacteroidia; Bacteroidales; Muribaculaceae.